RNAcentral lists this long non-coding RNA (1005 nucleotides) under Canis lupus dingo (dingo). RNAcentral's name for it is "lncRNA (ENSCAFG00020000407.1)". Lineage: Eukaryota; Metazoa; Chordata; Mammalia; Carnivora; Canidae. The record is from RNAcentral.
UAGCUACACUGAGUAGGUGGGAUUUUGUGCUCUGAACGAGAGGCUGUUGAAGUGGCAGUCUCCUGGGAGGGAUGCUCUUCUGUCCACGUUGCAUUACUCAGGGCUGCUCUGGGUUUUGACCGAUUUUUUUUUUCCCUCACAGUGGUGAUUUAUAGAGCAAAAUUUAGUAUCAUCCGUGGGCAGUUUGUCUCUUGGAUAGAACCACAUCUCUAAUUACUCUUUGCUCUGAUUUUUUUUUUUUUUUUAAGGAGGGUGGGGAGGGGCAGAGGGAGAGAGAAUCCCAAGCAAGCUCCAUGCCCAGUGUGGGGCCUGACACGAGGCUGGAUCUCAACAACCCUGAGAUCAUGGCCUGAGUGGAAAUCAAGAGUCGGAUGCUCAACCAACUGAGGCACCCAUUUGCUCUUGGGUUUGUUGCUUUGUGGGGGCGGGGGGAGUUAUUAUUGUUUUUUUUUUUUUUUUUUUUUUUUUUGCUAAGGCUUAAGAUACUGAAGGAUGAUGAUUAUUCCUGUGUGGAGGGCAAAACCACCUGUUGUAGAUCCUCAUGAAAUCCUCUUUGAAAAUGUUAGCAUAGAGAUGUAACAUGCAUAGAGCACAUUGAUAUAUGUGUGCACCCAGGAAGCCACCAUUCAGAUCAGUGUUCCAGAAGGCUCCUUGUGCCUUCUCUUACUCAGAAUGAAUGCCCUCAAGGUAACCAUUGCUAACCUGUAUCAGCACAGAUUAGUUUUCCCAGCUCAUAAAUUUUAUCAGAUCCUGAUAAGAGUCAUUUCUUUAGACAGACCUCCGCAUUCAGUACAUAUUUGCUGGUGGCUUUUCUUGAAAAGAUACAAUGAUUCUGUUCCAGGACUCCAGGAGCAGAGGCUGAGCCGCAGGACACAGCUAAGGUGGAACAGUCAUCACAAAAGGAGUGUGGGCAGCCCACAGGGCAAAUUCUUCCUGAGGUUCAGACCACACAAAAUCCAGCAAAUGAGCAAGAAAGUACAGGUAUGUGGUUGGGUAACAGGUUAG